GAGUUUGAUCCUGGCUCAGAGCGAACGCUGGCGGCAGGCUUAACACAUGCAAGUCGAACGGUCCUUCGGGAUAGUGGCGGACGGGUGAGUAACACGUGGGAACGUACCCUUAGGUUCGGAACAACACAGGGAAACUUGUGCUAAUACCGGAUAAGCCCCUUCGGGGAAAGAUUUAUCGCCUUUGGAGCGGCCCGCGUCUGAUUAGCUUGUUGGUGAGGUAAUGGCUCACCAAGGCUACGAUCAGUAAGCUGGUCUGAGAGGAUGGCCAGCCACACUGGGACUGAGACACGGCCCCAGACUCCUACGGGAGGCAGCAGUGGGGAAUCUUGCGCAAUGGGCGAGAGCCUGACGCAGCCAUGCCGCGUGGAUGAUGAAGGU
Molecule: ribosomal RNA, 378 nt
Filed under: uncultured microorganism
Description: bacterial SSU rRNA
Rfam family: Bacterial small subunit ribosomal RNA
Source: RNAcentral